UCUAUUCAAUAGACGAAGGAUUGGAGGAAAGUAGUGGUCACUAAUUUGGCUUCUGAUCUGGGCCUCAACGUUAUUCUGUGUUUCAGAUAAUCACAUGUUAUCUAUGCAAAAAUAGUUACCAGGAUUUGCUUGGCCAUGUGUUUGAUUUGCAAUUCAGCCGUAGUGUGGUGCUGUUCUCUCGUUUAAACACUCGGGUGUCAGAAGUCGUUUAUGUGCAGUCAGCCUGGAUGUCUGGGAGAAGGAGGGUGUAUUCGGCGAAAUAUUGCCCUGCACGCGUUUUUGAUUCGUCCUCAUACAACAAUUUAUAUCUAUAGCAAAACAAACGUUGGAUCUGGGACCUUGGAAAUUAAAAAGUAUAUGCAUUGUAUCGGGAAAAAUGGAUUAUCCCACAAUGGAUUCAGAUACACUACGGCUAGGAAAAAGGUACGUCAGGAGCUCCAUUGUUUUCAUCGCUCUUUUACACUUUUCAUCUGGCGUAUCGCAUUAUUCAAUUCCUGAAGAAAUGAAAGAAGGAUCCGUUGUUGCCAAUCUGGCCGCAGAUUUGGACCUGGAUGUGGAAACGCUCAGUGAAAGAAAGAUGCGCCUGGAUAUUGUGGCGAACAAAAAAUAUUUGGAGAUGAACAAAGAGACUGGCGAACUGUAUAUUGUGGAGAAAAUCGACAGGGAACAUAUUUGCAACACAAAAUCGUCUAUUUCAUGCUAUUUAAAGCUAGAAAUCAUACUUGAAAAUCCCGUACGAAUAUUUAAUAUUGAAUUGGAAAUUUUGGAUAUAAACGACAAUGCCCCUCAAUUCCGUCGAGACUCAAUACGUUUGGACAUAACCGAGUCGACGACAGCAGGGGAAAGAUUCUCUUUGAGCAAUGCAGUAGACCCCGAUGUUGGAACGAACUCAGUCAAAACGUACUAUUUAAGUGAAAGCGAACAUUUUAAUAUCGAGGUACAAACUGGUAGGGAUGGGUCAAAGUUUGCAGAAUUAAUCUUAAAAAAGGCUUUGGACCGAGAGAAGCAGGCCGUUCAUCAUUUAGUUCUCAGCGCGGUUGACGGCGGUACACCGACCCGCUCCGGUACUGCCAGCGUGAUUGUUCACGUCCUGGACAUUAACGACAACACUCCUACAUUCCACAAGGAGGAAUAUAACAUAAAAGUCAUGGAAAACUCUCCGAUUGGAAGCCUCGUCGUUCAACUGAAUGCAACCGAUUUAGACGAGGGUUCAAACGCUGACAUAACGUACUCGUAUAGUCUGUACACCUCAGAGAAAACGCAAGAAAUGUUUAAUAUAAAUCCAUCUAACGGAGAGCUCACUGUAAAAGGCAUGUUAAACUAUGAGGAUUUCAGGAUUUAUGACAUGGAAAUCAUAGCUAUGGAUAAAGGGGCAAACGCACUAUCAGGACAGUGCAAAAUAAAAAUGUUAGUAGAAGACAUGAACGACAAUCACCCAGAGAUAUCUAUUAAAUCCUUUCAGAGUCCCAUCAAGGAGAAUGCUGAAUUAGGCACUGUAAUAGCAGUUGUUAGUAUAAGUGAUAAGGAUUCUGGUGAUAAUGGUCAAGUUGAUCUUACAAUUCAAGCUAAUUUACCGUUUAAACUAAAGGAGUCGUCAGGUAAUUUCUUUGAGUUAGUUGUCUCUGAAGCGCUAGACAGAGAAAAGGCUCCUGAAUAUGAAAUAACAUUCACAGUUACAGACAGAGGUUCUCCUCCAUUAUCUGAUAAUGAAACCAUGACCUUAGAGCUACUGGAUGUUAAUGAUAAUGUCCCCCAGUUCCCUCAGUCUUUCUAUACCAUACGUGUGAUGGAGAAUAAUGCUCCUGGAGCCUUGCUAGAUUCUCUCACUGCGUACGACCCAGACCUCCAUGAAAACCAGUAUCUAGUGUACUUCAUCAUAGAGAGGGAGAUAGCCAACGCCUCCAUGUCCAUGCUGUUCUCCAUUAGCCCAGAGAAUGGUAAACUCUAUGCUCUGAAAACAUUUGACCAUGAGAUUGAGAAGGAGUUUCUCUUCCACAUUGAGGCCAGAGACUCUGGUGUUCCUCCACUCAGCAGUAAUGUGACUGUCCACAUCAUUAUUGUGGACCAGAAUGACAACACUCCAGUCAUAGUGUCCCCAUGGCGCGCUCACGGCUCAGUGGUGGAGGAGAAGAUCCCCAGAUCCACUGACAAAGGCUUUCUGGUUUCCAAGGUGAUUGCUAUCGACGGCGACUCUGUGUUGAACUCAAGGAUUACCUACCAGUUUCUACAGGUGACGGACGCCACCUUGUUCAGUCUGGACCAGUACAACGGAGAGAUCCGGACCAUGAGAAUGUUCAGUUACAGAGAUCCCCGUCUCCAACGGCUUGUUGUGGUUGCCAAGGACAACGGAGAGCCCGCUCUCUCUGCUACCGUUACCAUCAAGCUGUCCACAGUGGAGACCGCGGUCAAGGCCUACUCAGACAUGAGCGAAGUGCCCCUAGAGUACGACAUCUUUUCAGACUUAAAUCUGUAUCUGGUCAUCGGCCUGGGCUCGGUGUCCUUCCUCUUGUUGAUCACCAUAUUGGUCACCAUCGUUCUCAAGUGUCAGAAACCCAAGUCCAGCAAAGCUGCUCCUCCCUGCAGGAACAGUGUGGUCAGUGAGAGGAACUCUUUUGCAGAUUCCACUCUGGUGUCCAACGAUGCCUACUGGUACAGCAUGUUUCUAGCGGAGACCAGGAAAGGGAAGCUGGUGGUUAGACAGCCAGCGCCAAAGGGCUCCAGGUACAUAGUGUCCAGUUUACCACGGAGCACUGGCCUCACAGAGACGAGCGGCUCAGCACCCUCCACGCUGCAGGUGAGGACCGCGGCAAACGAUUCAUGUGUUCAUCUGGGGAUUUCUAGCAUAUGUUCUGGCUCUUUAAACCAUUUCAUACAUUUUGUUUUUAAAAUUGAUGAAUUUCAUUGAAUGGUAUUUAUCCAUCAUCGUGGUGGAAAAUGCAAAACGCUUCAGUUUUAGUAAUUCAUAAUAAGUGGCACUAAAGGAAACGGCUCAGCACUGUUAAAUAUAUGCUAUACUAUUUAACAAACAAUUAUUUAUUGAUAUUCAUUAUUUCCGUUUACUUUGUUGUACGAAUUGAUGGGAAAUAGUAGCUCUUUCAACCAUUAUCUUCAUUUAAUUUGCACUGAAUUGCGGUCAUGCUUUAUCAUGACGUGUGCAUUCACAAUGCAACUUAAUUAUUUUUAAAUUUUAAAUAAAAUAUACCUGAAUUACAUACAUUUUACAAUAUAUAAUAUAUCAUAACGAUUAAAUUAACAAGAGAUUACAUGCUGAAUAUACCAGUAUAUUCCUGAGUUUAGUUCAAUGAAUGUAUGAGAUAUUAUGUCUUCGAAAUGAAGUGUCGUUUUGUUGAAUACAUUCACCAAAAAGAGAUUCAGGGUAGAAUCUGUGAGGAUGUACAUGCGUGUUCCUUGCAUAUAGAGCCGCUGUUCACCAUUUGAACACGUCUUAUGAGGUCAAAGCCACCGCUACACUUCCUCAGAGUGGACGCGACGAGCUGCGCAAGUGAACAGUUCCCGGUGCUAGAAUUUGGAUGUGGACAAUGUGGUUGUUUUGUGCAAGAUCUUUGGCGUAGAUUGGAGGAUUAUUUUGCACGUUUUACGUUGUAUAAACGAGGACAUCGCUACAAUGGGCCAAUGUGCAAGGGUUACAGGAGAUAAACAGAUUGCUAAAACGAUGGAGGCGAAAUGUUAUAUCCAGAGCUGGACUCGUAUCCUAAGUGAAGGACAUCGGCUCUGCAGCUGGAGGCGUCCACCACCAGCAGUAACAGUUCCACGUGAAGCCCCCCCGGUUAUGCCGAGCGGACCACCGGAGAGAGCGAGAGAGAGGAUGGAGGACCCUGCAGCCCUCAAACCUUAUCCCCCACCCUCCCCCAGAGGGUCUUGUAAAUACAUGACAAAAAUACUUGCGUGAUUGUCCAAUCCCAAGCUUGAUCGCUCCUAGCCGCCCUGCUUGUGUGACAUCGGUCUCCCUCCGUUUUCUAGCCCUCCAUCGUUGGCCUUCCUGAGCCCCCCCCCCCCCCCCCCCGAUAUGUUCUCUAUAAGCACAUGCUGAACCAAUCAACGUCAACAUGCAUGAUAACGAGCGCCAUGGCCAUAUAAGACUGCGUAAAACCCUGCCGGAAAUGGGACUUUACAGGACGCUGCAUCAAGCCACAACGUGGACUCAUAGUGUAGGUCCGCAGAAGAUCCUACAGGAAACCUUUUCCCCAUCGUGUGUAUGACUCACUCCUGUAUUAUAGCACUUAUAGAAAAAUGCUCAACAGUAAAUAGCAUAGGCAUCAACAAAAUGAUAUAUAUGUGUAAGUUAUUGGAAGGUAUAGUUAUUGGUGUUGUGUCGCUGUGAUCGAUUUGGGAUUGCUCUAUAUUUGAUGUUGUUUACGUGUGUGUAGGCUCUGAUGGUUUAGUGUUGAAGCUGUCUGCCUUUUUGAAAUACAUCAGCCAACAAAUAUGGAGGCGUUUUCUUUUUUUAUGAAUAAGUGAUGACAGUCAUGCCAUGCAUGUGGUUUUUAAGUGCUUUUGUAACUUUAUUUUGGGACCCGUUCCAUUUCAUACAAGUCUGGUGCGGUGUGAUAGUUAAGAUGCAGUGAGUUUUUGAAUUUGAUUGGAGCACAACAAGAAGUUAAUUUGGAAUACAAGAGACCCAAAGGACUUAACAGUAAAAGUAUUGUGGAAAGUUUAAUAGUAAAGGUAUUCUGAAAAGUUCAAUAGUUCUUAUGGAAUAGCCUACGACUACAAGUGUUUACGUAUUAUGAUCCUAUUGACUCGACAUAAUAACAACGGUAAACAAAGGAAGCAAUGCCAUUAAUAUAUCUGACUCACUGCCAAAUUUACCUUUUUUUGUGCCUACUAUGAUGUUUAAAAUGAGCACAAUGGUGUUGAUUAGUUUCCAGUGGCAUUAUAAAUUAUUGUUGGGAUGAUGUAGAAACCAAAUAAAUUCUGAACAAUGGUACUAAAACAAAUAGGCAACUCACAGAACCGUUCAUCUCCUACUGGGUAUAUGCUCUGUGUUAUGAAUUCAUGUAUCUAACUUCAAAAAUUACUCAUGUGUUUACGUUAUACCAAACAUUGAAAUUAUUGUGCAAUGAAAUGACUGGUAGCUGUAUUUACAACCUCAUGUUCUUAAAUCAGUUGGCUAACCCCCUGAAGUGAACCCCUAAGUGAUUUAUAUUAAAUUCAUUGCACAAUAAGACGCUGUAUUCUGUUUAACAACAGAUACGUGCUUUUGUACAUUGUCAUUUUUAAUGGUACAAUAUCUAGUACUUAUAGAGUGUGAUCAUAUUGUAUGCUAUGGUAAUCACAUUAUUAUAUACAGAAAACCAGACAAUUAUUGAAACGGUGCAUUUUGUGUCAUAUAGGUACAAACAGGUUCAUGUCAAUCUUGUGCGAAAUACUCUGAAUUAUGCCAUUAAACCCAUGCUGAGA
Molecule: RNA transcript, 5421 nt
Organism: Gadus macrocephalus (Pacific cod)
Lineage: Eukaryota; Metazoa; Chordata; Actinopteri; Gadiformes; Gadidae
Gene name: protocadherin alpha-C2-like
Exons: 3
Source: RefSeq, a predicted model, not a curated record